UUAAAUUUAAAAAUUGAUCCAUAUGAAAAAACGAAAAAUAUAUAAAACAUAAAAUCAGAAACAAAUAUAUAAUAGUAUAAAAAUGAUCAUAACGAGAUAUAAAUUACGUCAAAUCAAAAAAAAAUGUAAAACAAAAAAAAACUUAUGACAAUAUAUAAAGAGAUAAUGUAAACAAUAAAAAAUACAACAAUCCACCCGAAACCCACAAAUCAUUUUCAAAUUUCGGGCCAACAUAUUAAAAAGAGCCACAAUAUUAACAUCUAUAUCUAUAUAUGGUAAAAAACCUAAUAGCACAUGUUUAUGAGUUUCUCAAUGAUUCUCCACCGCACUUCCGUUUACACUCAC
This 345-nucleotide long non-coding RNA is filed under the name Capsella rubella. RNAcentral describes it as "long non-coding RNA (CRUB_LNC004277)". Lineage: Eukaryota; Viridiplantae; Streptophyta; Magnoliopsida; Brassicales; Brassicaceae. The record is from RNAcentral.